CUGGAGUUUGGCAGAGGGGGGUGGAAUUCCACGUGUAGCAGUGAAAUGCGUAGAGAUGUGGAGGAACACCAAUGGCGAAGGCAGCCCCCUGGGUCGAUACUGACGCUCAUGCACGAAAGCGUGGGUAGCAAACGGGAUUAGAUACCCUGGUAGUCCACGCCCUAAACGAUGUCAACUAGGUGUUGGGAGGGUAAAACCUUUUAGUGCCGUAGCUAACG
Molecule: ribosomal RNA, 218 nt
Filed under: uncultured Candidatus Accumulibacter sp.
Lineage: Bacteria; Pseudomonadati; Pseudomonadota; Betaproteobacteria
Description: partial 16S ribosomal RNA
Rfam family: Bacterial small subunit ribosomal RNA
Source: RNAcentral